CCGCCUUCCGGAUGGAUGAAAGCAGAAGCAGUGGCUGGAGCUAGAGCAGCUAUUUAGGACUAUGAGAUGGAAGAAAUGUGGUGACAAUAGCAGAACAAAAAUAUAGAAAUCUUGGGUACUUGAUGACCACGGAGCCGCCAUACAAACUCUGGACUAUAAUUUCCAGAGACUGUUUAUAGAAUGAAGAUACUGUCAUUACCUCUGCAAAGAAUGCAUCCUAGCACAGAUCAAAGAUCUUCCAAGUCCAGCCACACCAUUUUACAGUUCUGAACCUCGACUUAGGAAAGCAGUGGAUCUUUAUACAUUUGACACAUCCCUUCCCUCUAGGAUCUCUGUGGCUAUUGAAAAUGGACUGGAGAAGAUGAGUGGGAGUGAGAAGAGGAUAACAGAAUCAGAUAAAAACCUGUCAUGUUACUAAGAGCAGGAGAUGAGGCAGCCUGGACCAAGAUGGUGGCAGAGAGAAGAAAAUUGCUUGAGAGAAUUGAUUAAACUACUUGGUUAGCACAGAUAGAGCUGAAUCAAAAAUUAGGAUGGUAAGCUAAGUAAUUUUACACACAAAAAGGCAGAGUUGCAUUCAUAAUUAGUCUCUCCUUCAGACUGAAUAUUACAGACAAAAUAUAGCCAUUGGUGUUGCAAUCACUUCCUUUGGGUUUGUAUCCAAGGUUAAGAAUGUCAGCAUCCAAAGACCCAAAUUCUUAAUGUUUUUAGUUGAUAAAGUUUAUUCAAGGUAGACAGCCUGUGUUGAAUAACUUAGUCUUCCACAAAUUUCAAGAAAAAUCCAUUGUCCCUCUUCUCCGCCACAGACACACUUUAGUUGAACAUUAAGCAUAUUUAUUAAAGAAACAUUCUCCUUGUGCUUUUUCUCCCAAGAUGGAUGGUGUUCUUACUUAGAGUUAUAAGUGUCAGAAUAAAAAUGCCCAUGAGGUUGAAUUGUAUGAUGUUAUAGUAAAGUGAGAUAAACAUUCUCAGAAACAUGAUUGUGACUUAAAAAAAAAAAAAACCAACAAACCACUUUCUGUAGAGGAAUUAUGCUUUGGGGACAGAAACUUUCCUUUAUAAUUUUUACAGCUGCACGCAGAUAAAGUGUAUUAAAAAGGCACAACACAUCAAUUAUGAAAACAUGGCUACCCUUUAAGAGAACACAGACUUUUUCCAGAUCCAUCUUAAAUCUCAGGAAUUCUAGAUCGAGACAGGCAUGAAUGCUCCUGUUGCUGAAAUCACUCUGAUUUCCUUCUUGUUAAACACUUCACUCAGCAACAUUAUAGAUUAGCACCAAAAAAGUUGUUUGUAGGUGAAAAACUGUUCAGAAAAGGACACCUUAUUAGGCAGGCUGUCGAUUUACAAAUAAAAGCCGAUUCUGGCUCUCC
Homo sapiens (human) is the source of this 1367-nucleotide long non-coding RNA. RefSeq annotates it as long independently transcribed non-coding RNA 690. The record is from RefSeq and is marked validated. The transcript has 3 exons. Lineage: Eukaryota; Metazoa; Chordata; Mammalia; Primates; Hominidae.